GAAUCCUGUCAUAUUUUUCCACGGCUUUCUUGAACUUCACGAUCGGCGGCGGCUGAUUGCUUCGAUAACAGAUCUGGAUAACAAGCUCAAGAAAGCCGAGGGAAAAUAUAAAGGGAUUC
RNAcentral lists this microRNA precursor (119 nucleotides) under Picea abies (Norway spruce). RNAcentral's name for it is "miR396q stem-loop (pab-MIR396q)". Its record names the gene pab-MIR396q. The record is from miRBase by way of RNAcentral. Lineage: Eukaryota; Viridiplantae; Streptophyta; Pinopsida; Pinales; Pinaceae.